Mauremys reevesii (Reeves's turtle) is the source of this 549-nucleotide long non-coding RNA. RefSeq lists it as uncharacterized. NCBI's taxonomy places the organism in Eukaryota, Metazoa, Chordata, Testudines, Geoemydidae. The transcript is spliced from 3 exons. The record is from RefSeq and is a predicted model, not a curated record.
GUCUUAACUACCUGGAGUCACUCAUUGGCACUUGGAAGUGUUACAGUGUGUUUACUGGGGAAGAAGACUCUUUUGAAUCAGGCAGGCCGGCACUUCCAGCAGCCCUGUCCACCUUGCUCCAGAGAAGAUGGUGUGGACGAUGGUGCAGAUAACACAAGCAUGGGAAGAGGAUGCCCUUUAGGCACAGAAGUGAGUGCCCUUUAAGAGUGGAGCAUGCUGGGAAAGCCAGCCUUUCAGGAGUUCAGUCUAGUGGAAGGACCUAUAAGAAGUGAAAGGACCUAGGGCAUGGCUGGGAGACCAGAUAUGCUGCCAAAGGGUUGUCAUUUGAUUUUUAUUGGGGUUUUUCCCAUUGUGUUUCUUUUGAUUGCUAAUAAAUCAGAGCUGAUUUUAACCCCCACUGUUUGGGUCAGUGCAUUUUUGCCAGACACUCCAGCGUCCCAUGCCAACAAGAUGGCAACAACUUGUGGUCAUUCCCAACCAUGCAUUCAGCUUUGAGCAAAACUGACAAUCAAAUGCAUCUAAAUACAACUCAGUGAAUCGUGUUCUUUC